CGUGUAGGCGGCCUGACAGGUCUGCUGUGAAAACUCGAGGCUCAACCUCGAGAUGUCGGCGGAAACCGUCUGGCUAGAGUCCGGAAGAGGAGAGUGGAAUUCCUGGUGUAGCGGUGAAAUGCGCAGAUAUCAGGAAGAACACCUAUGGCGAAGGCAGCUCUCUGGGACGGUACUGACGCUGAGACGCGAAAGUGUGGGGAGUGAACA
Molecule: ribosomal RNA, 207 nt
Filed under: uncultured bacterium
Lineage: Bacteria
Description: partial 16S ribosomal RNA
Rfam family: Bacterial small subunit ribosomal RNA
Source: RNAcentral